AUUUUGUUUUUGGUUCAUAAGCGUGAUGACUGGAUGUUCACACCAUUGCUGGACAGGUGCCUCCCUAAGACCUUGUCACAAUAUUGGCAAUUACCUGUGAAA
Mesocricetus auratus (golden hamster) is the source of this 102-nucleotide non-coding RNA. NCBI's taxonomy places the organism in Eukaryota, Metazoa, Chordata, Mammalia, Rodentia, Cricetidae. The record is from Rfam.